UACAGAGGGGGCGAGCGUUGUUCGGAAUUACUGGGCGUAAAGGGCGCGUAGGCGGCCUCUUAAGUCGAACGUGAAAUCCCCGGGCUCAACCCGGGAACUGCGUCCGAUACUGGGGGGCUUGAAUCCGGGAGAGGGAUGUGGAAUUCCAGGUGUAGCGGUGAAAUGCGUAGAUAUCUGGAGGAACACCGGUGGCGAAGGCGGCAUCCUGGACCGGUAUUGACGCUGAGGCGCGAA
RNAcentral lists this ribosomal RNA (234 nucleotides) under uncultured bacterium. RNAcentral's name for it is "partial 16S ribosomal RNA". It matches the Rfam family "Bacterial small subunit ribosomal RNA", at positions 524 to 757 of the family's 1533-position model. The record is from RNAcentral.